ACACAAGAGAAAUUUAUCCCACUUACCAGGCUGUCUCGCUAAGCAGGACAGCCUGGUAAGUGGGAUAAAUUUCUCUUGUGUU
RNAcentral lists this microRNA precursor (82 nucleotides) under Paramuricea clavata. The record is from RNAcentral. Lineage: Eukaryota; Metazoa; Cnidaria; Anthozoa; Malacalcyonacea; Plexauridae.